CGACACCAAUACUCAACUCAUUUGGCUAAAAGAAAUUGAAAGGGCACAUGGUUCUGUUGAAGUGAACGCACUCGCACAGGCAGAAGCGAUUAACAGCGAUGGCAUAUUUACUGUCGGAACGCUUGGACACAACUACGAAACCGACAAGCAUCUGAUGAAUGAAGACAUGAUUAAGUUAACAAUACCGAAACAAAAAAAGAAGUAUACCUUUAAGCAAUUACAAGAUCUGCAAAGUCGACUCAUGUUAGUUGCAGGGCAAGCUGUACACGCCACCCGAACAUGCGUGGGUGUUGAAAGGUUUACUGUGAUUUUCGACAGCGUAACUCGGCUCGCAAAUGUCUUAAGAAAACUUCGUGUUUCCGGAUGUGUUCUAUUCAAUGAGUGGCAAGGACAGUUUUGGUGCAGUCCCGAAAGACCGGUGUGUGUAGAGCUGACAUUUGGCAAUGAUAAGAGUAUGCCGACU
Molecule: long non-coding RNA, 463 nt
Organism: Dreissena polymorpha
Lineage: Eukaryota; Metazoa; Mollusca; Bivalvia; Myida; Dreissenidae
Exons: 3
Source: RefSeq, a predicted model, not a curated record